AGAGUUUGAUCCUGGCUCAGAUUGAUUUCUGGCGGCAGGCCUAACACAUGCAAGUCGAGCGGUAGAGAGGAGCUUGCUCCUCUUGAGAGCGGCGGACGGGUGAGUAAUGCCUAGGAAUCUGCCUGGUAGUGGGGGAUAACGUUCGGAAACGGACGCUAAUACCGCAUACGUCCUACGGGAGAAAGCAGGGGACCUUCGGGCCUUGCGCUAUCAGAUGAGCCUAGGUCGGAUUAGCUAGUUGGUGAGGUAAUGGCUCACCAAGGCGACGAUCCGUAACUGGUCUGAAAGGAUGAUCAGUCACACUGGAACUGAGACACGGUCCAGAAUCAAACGGGAGGCAGCAGUGGGGAAUAUUGGACAAUGGGCGAAAGCCUGAUCCAGCCAUGCCGCGUGUGUGAAGAAGGUCUUCGGAUUGUAAAGCACUUUAAGUUGGGAGGAAGGGCAGUAAAUUAAUACUUUGCUGUUUUGACGUUACCGACAGAAUAAGCACCGGCUAACUCUGUGCCAGCAGCCGCGGUAAUACAGAGGGUGCAAGCGUUAAUCGGAAUUACUGGGCGUAAAGCGCGCGUAGGUGGUUUGUUAAGUUGGAUGUGAAAUCCCCGGGCUCAACCUGGGAACUGCAUUCAAAACUGACUGACUAGAGUAUGGUAGAGGGUGGUGGAAUUUCCUGUGUAGCGGUGAAAUGCGUAGAUAUAGGAAGGAACACCAGUGGCGAAGGCGACCACCUGGACUAAUACUGACACUGAGGUGCGAAAGCGCGGGGAGCAAACAGGAUUAGAUACCCUGGUAGUCCACGCCGUAAACGAUGUCAACUAGCCGUUGGAAGCCUUGAGCUUUUAGUGGCGCAGCUAACGCAUUAAGUUGACCGCCUGGGGAGUACGGCCGCAAGGUUAAAACUCAAAUGAAUUGACGGGGGCCCGCACAAGCGGUGGAGCAUGUGGUUUAAUUCGAAGCAACGCGAAGAACCUUACCAGGCCUUGACAUCCAAUGAACUUUCUAGAGAUAGAUUGGUGCCUUCGGGAACAUUGAGACAGGUGCUGCAUUUCUGUCGUCAGCUCGUGUCGUGAGAUGUUGGGUUAAGUCCCGUAACGAGCGCAACCCUUGUCCUUAGUUACCAGCACGUCAUGGUGGGCACUCUAAGGAGACUGCCGGUGACAAACCGGAGGAAGGUGGGGAUGACGUCAAGUCAUCAUGGCCCUUACGGCCUGGGCUACACACGUGCUACAAUGGUCGGUACAGAGGGUUGCCAAGCCGCGAGGUGGAGCUAAUCCCACAAAACCGAUCGUAGUCCGGAUCGCAGUCUGCAACUCGACUGCGUGAAGUCGGAAUCGCUAGUAAUCGCGAAAAAGAAUGUCGCGGUGAAUACGUUCCCGGGCCUU
This 1379-nucleotide ribosomal RNA is filed under the name uncultured bacterium. RNAcentral describes it as "16S ribosomal RNA". It matches the Rfam family "Bacterial small subunit ribosomal RNA", at positions 8 to 1382 of the family's 1533-position model. The record is from RNAcentral.